Molecule: transfer RNA, 75 nt
Filed under: Botrimarina colliarenosi
Lineage: Bacteria; Pseudomonadati; Planctomycetota; Planctomycetia; Pirellulales; Lacipirellulaceae
Description: Planctomycetes bacterium Pla108 tRNA-His
Rfam family: tRNA
About the family: Transfer RNA (tRNA) molecules are approximately 80 nucleotides in length. Their secondary structure includes four short double-helical elements and three loops (D, anti-codon, and T loops).
Source: RNAcentral
GUGGCUGUAGCUCAGUUGGUUAGAGCGCCGGAUUGUGAUUCCGGAGGUCGGGGGUUCAAGACCCCUCAGCCACCC